Molecule: ribosomal RNA, 721 nt
Filed under: Clostridioides difficile
Lineage: Bacteria; Bacillati; Bacillota; Clostridia; Peptostreptococcales; Peptostreptococcaceae
Description: bacterial LSU rRNA
Rfam family: Bacterial large subunit ribosomal RNA
Source: RNAcentral
UCAGGUGGCCGCAGAGAAUAGGCCCAAGCGACUGUUUACCAAAAACAUAGGUUUCUGCUAAGUCGCAAGACGAUGUAUAGGAGCUGACGCCUGCCCGGUGCUGGAAGGUUAAGGGGAUCUGUUAGAGCAAUCGAAGCAGUGAACUUAAGCCCCAGUAAACGGCGGCCGUAACUAUAACGGUCCUAAGGUAGCGAAAUUCCUUGUCGGGUAAGUUCCGACCCGCACGAAAGGCGUAACGAUUUGGGCACUGUCUCAACAACAGACUCGGUGAAAUUGUAAUUCCGGUGAAGAUGCCGGAUACCUGCGACAGGACGGAAAGACCCCAUGGAGCUUUACUGUAGCUUGACAUUGGGUCUUGGUACUACAUGUACAGGAUAGGUGGGAGGCUUUGAAACCAGGACGCCAGUUUUGGCGGAGCCAUCCUUGGGAUACCACCCUUGUAGUACUGGGACUCUAACCAUAGGCCAUGAAUCUGGUCUUGGGACACUGUCAGGUGGGCAGUUUGACUGGGGCGGUCGCCUCCCAAAAGGUAACGGAGGCGCUCAAAGGUUCUCUCAGUACGGUCGGAAAUCGUACGUAGAGUGUAAAGGCAAAAGAGAGCUUGAUUGCAAGACAUACAGGUCGAGCAAGGAUGAAAAUCGGACUUAGUGAUCCGGUGGUUCUGCGUGGAAGGGCCAUCGCUCAACGGAUAAAAGCUACCCUGGGGAUAACAGGCUUAUCU